RNAcentral lists this long non-coding RNA (3217 nucleotides) under Strigops habroptila (Kakapo). RNAcentral describes it as "lncRNA (ENSSHBG00005018596.1)". The record is from RNAcentral. Lineage: Eukaryota; Metazoa; Chordata; Aves; Psittaciformes; Psittacidae.
UUUAGAACCAAAUUUUAUUAAAGAAAAACCUGUAGUGCAGGUUCUCAGGACAAUUGCAUACCUUUGGAUGCAGUGGAGUACACAGGUACGUAUACAGUAGUUUGCCUGCUACAUGUUGAGAAGCUGAAAGAGACCGUGAUAAUCUGUACUGCACAGUUCAUCACCAUCAUUAGAAGUUGCCAAAAACUUGGUUGUGGAUCACUAACAGAUACUUGGUUAUGUGUGUUCACUACAUAUUGCACAAGACUUUUGAUUAAGCUAUUAAUUGUGCAAUUGAAUCACAGUUAAGUGUUACAUUAAGCAUAUUCAAACAUAUAUUUCUUGGGUUUUAUUUGCUCUGUUUUGUUUUUUUCUCAAAAACAGCACGUCACUACAAAACUGCCAUUAAAUGUUACAUAUUUACAAAAAUAUACAAAUAGCAUUUUUCCCCAUUUAUGACAAUGACCAGUUGUGGAUUCAUUUCAUUCUUCCCUUGAGCCCUGAUACCGUAUACAAAGAAGCCUGCUCAAAGUCAAGGUCUCCUGAAACAAAAUUAGGUAAAGGCAUGUUCUGUUUUCAUAAACACUAGAACGUGCAAAGGCAGAAGGAGAGGACUGUGUAGUCACGUGUGUUGAAGGGAUGGACUAUAGCAUACUGAUGACUACUAAGAGCCUUUACAAGGAUUUGAAGGGCCUCUUUGUCAGAAAUACGGUUAGAAACAGAGUGUUAAGCAUUUACUGAUGAUAUUCUGGAAAAGCAGUCAAAAGCAUUUAAAAAACUAAGUUAUACAUUGGUUGUAAUUAGCUAACACCUAUCCAAAGUACUCUUAUGCUAACCAUGGGAAUACAGGUGAAAACCAGCUGGUCACCUGUGUGAGUACAGAUGCAGCAAGAUGAGGACUGACUUUAGCCUGCAGCUGCAUCUCAAAUUCACUGUGGGUGAGCACCUUUCUGCCAUAACACAAAGCUGAACCAACAAAGUCUGUGGAACUGCAUGGUCAUAAUUUAGGGUAGAAUUUAGCCCUGCAAUACCAAAUAAGUAAAGAAAUAAGUAAAGCUCCUCAUGAACAACAAGGAAGCAAGAAAUACUUUGUGAAUCUUCACAAGAAGUAUGUCAAGUCUAAUUCUUACUUUAUUAGCUUUCACAUUUUUACCAAGAGCUGUAGCUCUAAUUAGCCAAAAAUAUGAUUUGGGCUUAGUUUAAUUACAAGGUUUUUCUCCUUUUGUUCUCAUGGUUAAUGCCAGAAAAAUCUAUAUGAUUUCUCUGUCUGAGUCUGAAAUGAGAGUUUUAGACCCACCUGUGCUGAAACAGGCACAGAUGCACUGUAAAUAUGCCAAUAUCCUUUGCUCUUAAAAUGGUAAAUUCUCCCACUCUAACUCUCAUUAUCUUCCCAAAUCUUCCUCCAAUACUUAAUCCAGGAUAAACUGAUAUUCCUAGUGCAACUUCAUAAAUACAGAGCAAUGAUGCUAUGAUAAUUUCAUGUAGGUGAAGACAGACAUUAGUUUAUGUCUCCUAAAACCACACUUGCAAUAUACUAGGGUGAUACCCUUUAGAACCACCUCCCUUUUGCAAAGAAGCCUAUCUAUAGUUAAUGGAAAGGUAAAUCACAGUAGCUGUACAUAUUUAUAAAUACAACUGCCAAGUAAAGAACCAAAGUGGAAGCUUCCCACAGUGCCCUGCCAGCUGAUCAAGUUCCCCACAUCUUCCAAUCUGCUAUUCCUUUGCAAUUUUUUUCUUGUAUCUUUUUCUCAGCCACACAGAAGAGGAUAAAAAUGAAUUAAUGCCCUUUUGACAUCAACCCAACUGGUAGAACCACAGUCAGAGAAAAGCAACUCAGAAGAAACUGGGAUUAAGAGCAGAGAAUUCAAGUAUACUUCUCCAUUUGAUUACGUUUUUCCUCCAGAGCCUUCUGCACUGCAGUAAGAGCAGCCCAUGACUUACACCCAUGAGAAAAUAUAUCACUGCUUGUCAGCGACAAAUAAACAGAGAGAACUGUACUCAAAUGCCUCGUGUGUAUGUGAAAUGGAGGAACUCUGUUCCUAAAAUUAAAAUUUCUAGUCACAUGUGCAGUGAACUCCAGUGGCUGGUGUUUACCCUCAGGAAUACCGUACCAACUCCAUUCAUUCUCUCUAAACAUUGCAAAAUUACAGCUCACAGAGGGAUUCUAGCAAAUUACGUUUAAGCAGUAUAAAUCUAAGACUCAGACCGUAUAAAAUAAUUCUUCUCUCUUGCCUCCUAGCUCAGUGCUGUGCUAAGGGAAAAACAAUUAGCAAAUGCCCUACAAUCAUCUUAGAAGUAAACCUACACUGGAGUUACCUCUGGAGUGCACAUACAUGCAUCCUGGCUCCUGGGAAGCAACCUCUUUUCCAUGCACCUCAAGUGGGAUGUUGCUGCAAGUCAGACCCCUCUUAAAUCAGAGACAGAAACGCUGAUAAUUUCAUGUGUUCCUGCUCCUGCAUCAGUUUAGACUCAUGGUUUAAAGUCUCUAUAUGCAACCAACAAAAUUAAAAUAGUUGCCAUCAUGAAUUAAAGCAAGCUCCAAGGUUUAAGCAAAACAAAAUCAACAACUCAUGGCAGAAUCAUACACAAUGGUAACACUGACUUUCUCACAGCUUUCCCUUUCCCUGUUCAAUCUUUUGCUUCCCUCCCUCCUACAUCUCUCUCAUACACACUCCCUCUCCAACACAGGUUCUACCCUUCAAAGAUACCGCUGAGCUUUUCAAUUAUCUUAUUUCCAUGAACUUCUCCAAGCUCUUCUAGCAAGAUGAUUCUGCCAAACCUACCUGGUGACUUUGCUUAAACUUGUAGUUUAUGGAACUUGAAAGCAAGCCAUUUGCCUCUGCCUCUAGGAAAGUUGUAUACAGACAGACCUGUCCUACACACCUGACAAGUCAAAUUGCUCCCAAGAGGAAUGAUCCCUGGUCCUCCUCCUUUAUUAGCAAUGGAAACUCUUUACCUCACCUUUUCUUCAGCUUCAGGUUGUAACAACUUAUCUAAUAAGCUAUUUGCUAGCUUUGGCCUCGUAUUUCCCAUAUAGAAAUGCAGCCCAAUCGUCUGCCAAAGAGUAUCUGCCCAGCCUUGCUGCAGCUCUGUACCUCCUGGCCCUUGCUGUGCUCCACGAAACACAUGCAAAUACCAUACCUCACCCCCAUAACCCAAAACGAGGCAGAAAGAGGCGUUUGGGAGAUAAUGUCUAUAGCAUUCUGUCAAUUAAAUGUGCAUUUUCCACAACAGACUG